CACUUGCAUCAUCUUCAUAUGGCCUCCAGUAUCACGAAUAUUAAAAUUAUUUGUCAAUUUGAGGCCCGGAGUAGCCAUCAAAGCAUUUUGACCAUAGCGCUGAAGCCCCGCCCUCCCGAGGUGUAAGAAGCUAGGAGGAAAUUUCUGAGAGACAGCAGCGUCGCAACAAGGAUCCUCGGAAUCUCUGCAGCUAUUGCAAGCUUAUUUGAGUGGUCGACAAAUUGUGUGCGAUUCACCUCAUGCUCACGAUUUUCACUCGCCUGUUUGUUUUGACGUGAGCACUGCCCUACGGGUCCUCAGUCACUCCACGGCCACUGCCCUGCGCUUUCUGGUGGAGAAUCAUGGCUGGAGCACCAACUUCCUCACCACGGCUUGGUUCUUGGAACAGUACCUGAAGGCGUCCAAGGCAGGGUCCUACGAACUGGACGAUGCCUCCUUUUACCUGGCUGACCUCGCAGACUUGGAUGUACAACCUGCUGUGCUCACCGACAUUUUUCUUGAGGAGAGGCACGAGACCCG
Molecule: long non-coding RNA, 519 nt
Organism: Ixodes scapularis (black-legged tick)
Lineage: Eukaryota; Metazoa; Arthropoda; Arachnida; Ixodida; Ixodidae
Exons: 4
Source: RefSeq, a predicted model, not a curated record